Long non-coding RNA from Triticum aestivum (bread wheat), 594 nucleotides. RefSeq lists it as uncharacterized. The transcript has 2 exons. The record is from RefSeq and is a predicted model, not a curated record. NCBI's taxonomy places the organism in Eukaryota, Viridiplantae, Streptophyta, Magnoliopsida, Poales, Poaceae.
UAUAUAAAGGGCAAUGCUCCGAUAGAAGAACAUCUCAAAGUCGAGAGCAGAGAGCGCCUCGUAGCAUCACCAGCCCUGCUUCAGUAGUUCUAUUGUCUCUGUGAAAUCGACCGCGGCGUCGACCAUGAGCUACCCGCCACCGGGCACCGCGUACCCGCCGCCGGGCCAGGAGGCCUACCCGCCUCCAGGGUACGGCGCGCCGCCGCCUGUCGCCGCUAACUACCAGCAGCAAGCCCCGCCGCAGGACUCGCAGGACCGCGGAGGCGACGGCUUCUGGAAAGGAUGUUGUGCUGCUAUUUGCUGCUGCUGCCUGCUCGACAUGUGCUUCUGAUCACAAGUUCCUACUGCCAACACCAGGAAAUCCCACGAUGAUCUACUCACUCAGAGCUGCUCAUAGUUGAUCAUGGUUAUUUCUAUUGUAGUAUUUGUGCUGUCCGGGUGGAGAUUUGUAUGGGCUCGUUGUGCUAGUUAAUUUUGCAUCUGGAUUUUGGCUUCAUUCUGUAUCACGGUAUUGUUAUUGGCAGAGUCUUAGUCUCUUCAGUUUGUUGGUGAUGAAUAACACGUAGCAGUAGCAUGCGAGAAUUCUUGACGACA